This 341-nucleotide ribosomal RNA is filed under the name uncultured Latescibacterota bacterium. RNAcentral describes it as "bacterial SSU rRNA". It matches the Rfam family "Bacterial small subunit ribosomal RNA", at positions 29 to 351 of the family's 1533-position model. The record is from RNAcentral. Lineage: Bacteria; Pseudomonadati; Candidatus Latescibacterota.
AACGAACGCUGGCGGCGUGGAUUAGGCAUGCAAGUCGAACGCGAAAGAGGGGGCAACUCCUCGAGUAGAGUGGCGAACGGGUGAGUAACGCGUGAAGAACCUGCCUUCGAGAGGGGGAUAACACUCCCAACGGGGUGCUAAUACCGCAUGAGACCACGGGUCCACCUGGACCUGAGGUCAAAGGUGGCCUCUGCUUGCAAGCUACCGCUCGAAGAUGGCUUCGCGUCCCAUUAGCUAGUUGGCGGUGUAACGGACCACCAAGGCGACGAUGGGUAGCUGGUCUGAGAGGAUGAUCAGCCACACUGGAACUGACACACGGUCCAGACUCCUACGGGUGGCUG